AUGCGGGAUAAGAAAAUGGCGGCAGACCGCGCACAAAACCUACAGGACACUUUCCUCAAUCACGUUCGCAAAACCAAAACGCCACUGACGAUCUUUCUGGUCAAUGGAGUGAAGCUGCAGGGCAUUGUCACCUGGUUCGACAAUUUCUGUCUGCUGCUUCGGCGCGAUGGUCAUUCGCAGCUUGUCUACAAGCAUGCGAUCUCGACGAUCAUGCCGGGCGCUCCCAUCCAGCUGUUCGAAGGCGGCGAGGACGCGCCAGCUUGAGAUUGAAUUAAUUUGGAACCCCGCAACUUCGACGGGGGCGCCGACCGGCCUAAGUCGGCGCGGGGCGAUACAGGACGGGUGCU
Molecule: unclassified non-coding RNA, 347 nt
Filed under: Hevea brasiliensis (rubber tree)
Lineage: Eukaryota; Viridiplantae; Streptophyta; Magnoliopsida; Malpighiales; Euphorbiaceae
Source: RNAcentral